This 1019-nucleotide ribosomal RNA is filed under the name Glutamicibacter nicotianae. Its description in RNAcentral is "bacterial SSU rRNA". It matches the Rfam family "Bacterial small subunit ribosomal RNA", at positions 47 to 1113 of the family's 1533-position model. The record is from RNAcentral. Lineage: Bacteria; Bacillati; Actinomycetota; Actinomycetes; Micrococcales; Micrococcaceae.
CUUAACACAUGCAAGUCGAACGAUGAAGCCCAGCUUGCUGGGUGGAUUAGUGGCGAACGGGUGAGUAACACGUGAGUAACCUGCCCCCGACUCUGGGAUAAGCCCGGGAAACUGGGUCUAAUACCGGAUAUGACCUCGCACCGCAUGGUGCGGGGUGGAAAGAUUUAUCGGUGGGGGAUGGACUCGCGGCCUAUCAGCUUGUUGGUGAGGUAAUGGCUCACCAAGGCGACGACGGGUAGCCGGCCUGAGAGGGUGACCGGCCACACUGGGACUGAGACACGGCCCAGACUCCUACGGGAGGCAGCAGUGGGGAAUAUUGCACAAUGGGCGAAAGCCUGAUGCAGCGACGCCGCGUGAGGGAUGACGGCCUUCGGGUUGUAAACCUCUUUCAGUAGGGAAGAAGCGAAAGUGACGGUACCUGCAGAAGAAGCGCCGGCUAACUACGUGCCAGCAGCCGCGGUAAUACGUAGGGCGCAAGCGUUAUCCGGAUUUAUUGGGCGUAAAGAGCUCGUAGGCGGUUUGUCGCGUCUGCCGUGAAAGUCCGAGGCUCAACCUCGGAUCUGCGGUGGGUACGGGCAGACUAGAGUGAUGUAGGGGAGACUGGAAUUCCUGGUGUAGCGGUGAAAUGCGCAGAUAUCAGGAGGAACACCGAUGGCGAAGGCAGGUCUCUGGGCAUUUACUGACGCUGAGGAGCGAAAGCAUGGGGAGCGAACAGGAUUAGAUACCCUGGUAGUCCAUGCCGUAAACGUUGGGCACUAGGUGUGGGGGACAUUCCACGUUUUCCGCGCCGUAGCUAACGCAUUAAGUGCCCCGCCUGGGGAGUACGGCCGCAGGCUAAACUCAAGAAUUGACGGGGGCCCGCACAAGCGCGAGCAUGCGAUAUUCGAUGCAACGCGAGACUACAAGCUUGACAUGUGCAGAUCGCUCAGAGAUGGGUUCCCUCGGGCCUGUUCACAGUGGGCAUGGUUCGUCAGCCGUCCUGAAUGUUGUAAGUCGCACGAGCCCACCCUCGUUCAUGU